This 626-nucleotide ribosomal RNA is filed under the name uncultured Bacillota bacterium. Its description in RNAcentral is "bacterial SSU rRNA". It matches the Rfam family "Bacterial small subunit ribosomal RNA", at positions 255 to 872 of the family's 1533-position model. The record is from RNAcentral. Lineage: Bacteria; Bacillati; Bacillota.
GGGUAACGGCUCACCAAGGCAACGAUGCGUAGCCGACCUGAGAGGGUGAUCGGCCACAUUGGGACUGAGACACGGCCCAAACUCCUACGGGAGGCAGCAGUAGGGAAUCUUCCGCAAUGGACGAAAGUCUGACGGAGCAACGCCGCGUGAGUGAAGAAGGCCUUCGGGUCGUAAAACUCUGUUGCCGGGGAAGAACAAGUGCCGUUCGAACAGGGCGGUGCCUUGACGGUACCCGGCCAGAAAGCCACGGCUAACUACGUGCCAGCAGCCGCGGUAAUACGUAGGUGGCAAGCGUUGUCCGGAAUUAUUGGGCGUAAAGCGCGCGCAGGCGGCUUCUUAAGUCUGAUGUGAAAUCUUGCGGCUCAACCGCAAGCGGUCAUUGGAAACUGGGAGGCUUGAGUGCAGAAGAGGAGAGUGGAAUUCCACGUGUAGCGGUGAAAUGCGUAGAGAUGUGGAGGAACACCAGUGGCGAAGGCGGCUCUCUGGUCUGUAACUGACGCUGAGGCGCGAAAGCGUGGGGAGCAAACAGGAUUAGAUACCCUGGUAGUCCACGCCGUAAACGAUGAGUGCUAAGUGUUAGAGGGUUUCCGCCCUUUAGUGCUGCAGCUAACGCAUAAGCACUCCGC